This is a long non-coding RNA of Syngnathus acus (greater pipefish), 248 nucleotides long. RefSeq lists it as uncharacterized. NCBI's taxonomy places the organism in Eukaryota, Metazoa, Chordata, Actinopteri, Syngnathiformes, Syngnathidae. The transcript has 3 exons. The record is from RefSeq and is a predicted model, not a curated record.
GACUGCCUGGAGGGCAGGCAGUGUUCCUUUAAAGUCUUCGGUUACGAUCGAGUGGAGACUUCCUCCUGCGACCCCGGCGACUUCCUGUUCGACGACUCUUGCUAUCAUUUUGAGUGGAAACGUAAGAAUUGGCAGGCCGCCGAGAAAUUCUGCAAGGGACGGGAUGGUUACUUGGCCAGCGUCCACUCAGAGGACGAAAACAAGUUCUUGGCUGCUCACGUACGAGAUGAUAAAGGAUAUUGGCCUUU